UACGUAGGGUGCGAGCGUUAAUCGGAAUUACUGGGCGUAAAGCGUGCGCAGGCGGUUUUGUAAGCCAGAUGUGAAAUCCCCGGGCUUAACCUGGGAAUGGCAUUUGGGACUGCAAGGCUCGAGUGCGGCAGAGGAGACUGGAAUUCCUGGUGUAGCAGUGAAAUGCGUAGAUAUCAGGAGGAACACCGAUGGCGAAGGCAGGUCUCUGGGCUGACACUGACGCUCAUGCACGAAAGCAUGGGGAGCGAACAGG
RNAcentral lists this ribosomal RNA (253 nucleotides) under uncultured bacterium. RNAcentral's name for it is "partial 16S ribosomal RNA". It matches the Rfam family "Bacterial small subunit ribosomal RNA", at positions 524 to 776 of the family's 1533-position model. The record is from RNAcentral.